GACGUAGGGCGCGAGCGUUGUCCGGAUUUAUUGGGCGUAAAGAGCUCGUAGGCGGUCUGUUGCGUCGGCUGUGAAAACCCGGGGCUCAACUCCGGGCCUGCAGCCGAUACGGGCAGACUAGAGUUCGGCAGGGGAGACUGGAAUUCCUGGUGUAGCGGUGAAAUGCGCAGAUAUCAGGAGGAACACCAAUAGCGAAGGCAGCUCGCUGGGACGUUACUGACACUGAGGCGCGAAAGCGUGGGGAGCGAACAGG
This 253-nucleotide ribosomal RNA is filed under the name uncultured bacterium. Its description in RNAcentral is "partial 16S ribosomal RNA". It matches the Rfam family "Bacterial small subunit ribosomal RNA", at positions 524 to 776 of the family's 1533-position model. The record is from RNAcentral.